UUCCCGAAUUUAGGAGAGCUAUUUUUUUUAUUGUCAUAAAUAUUAAAAAUAUGUAAUGAAACGUUAAUAUUUCUGGUUUUUCAAGAAAAUUAAAUUUGCUUAUGUCCUAAGGGAUUAGCUUUGGGUAGGAUUAGAAUUGUUGUUAAAGUUUUCCUAUUGAAAUUUUUUAAUUAAUAUUAAAAGUAAUUAUGAUUAAAUUAGUAUAAGGUUUAAUAAAGGAAUUCGGCAAAUAUUUUCUACCUGUUUAUUAAAAACAUGUCCUAUUGAUAAUAAUCUUAGGUCUAACCUGCCCGCUGAAGCCGCGGUAUUUUGACCGUGCAAAGGUAGCAUAAUAAUUAGUUUUUUAAUUGAAAGCUGGAAUGAAUGGUUGAAUAAGAAAAUGACUGUCUCUGUUAAAUAGAAUUUUAUCUUUAAGUAAAAAAGCUUAAAUUUGGCUAAAAGACGAGAAGACCCUAUAGAGUUUUAUUUUGGUUGGGGUGACUGAAAAAUUAAAAUAACUUUUGAUUAUAAGAGUAAAUUACCUUAGGGAUAACAGCGUAAUUCUUUUUAGAGUUCAAAUCGAAAAUUGAGUUUGCGACCUCGAUGUUGGAUUAAAAUUUAUUUUGGUGCAGAAGCU
Molecule: ribosomal RNA, 616 nt
Filed under: Anoplistes halodendri
Lineage: Eukaryota; Metazoa; Arthropoda; Insecta; Coleoptera; Cerambycidae
Description: partial large subunit ribosomal RNA
Rfam family: Archaeal large subunit ribosomal RNA (bases 209-397)
Source: RNAcentral